CCUCUCUCAUAUCUCUCGCCCUGUUUCUCUCAAUCCUUGCUCAAACUAAUCCAAUCAUCCAGUUGUCUGGGUGAAUACCUCUCUCUCUCUCCCAAACAUCAGAUCUAAGGUGAAUCGACAAGAAAAUCCGAUUUUGCUUUUGGCUCUUUAGUAAGGUAGCACAAGAAGGGCGAGUCCAUCACCAUGGUCCCCUACUUGGAUUCGGCAGGAGUAGACAUAGCCUUGCCGCGAUGGUCAUGCACGGUAACCCCUUAUUCUCCGACAUUCAGUUCCUCAAUUUCUAGGGUUUCUAUAAUUUUCCAAUAUUUCCCUUAUCGACUCUGCAUUUGUUGUGUUCAUGGCGUUGAGAUCGGGCGGCUGGAAGUUCUCGUUAGCGAUUUUGAGCAGAAAAGCUCCCCCAAAGAAAAAGAAGCCGGACUCUUCCACUGAUCCAACUCAGAUCCAAUCCAAUAGAGCCGGAGAGGACGAAACCCGUUGCUGUAUUCAUGGCUUUCGGUACCAAAGGCGAUGUCUAUCCAAUUGCUGCCAUUGCGGCGGCCUUUGCUUCCGACCAGAGACAGUACCAAGUUGUUCUUAUCACACAUUCAGCUCACGAGGACCAAAACACUUAAAUGAAAGUGUUUCAAUCCAGAAUCGGAGGGUUCAGCAUUGACUACUUAUACCAUCCUAAAUUGACAUGUUGCAAGUCAAGUUAUUAGCAGUCUAAUUAUCCUCACAAAAUUAUUACUAGUAUUAAUAAGCUUACGUUGUCACUUGGCUGAGAAGAAUGUUUCCUAUCUUCCAAUUUCAUCACCACCUGUUCUCUCUAUCCAUCAGAAACAUGAUACUACAGGCUCUGUAGAGUUGCCUCUUUCGCUGCAGAAAAAGUUGUUUUCUGGAGAACAUAGAAAAGAAUGUCUUUCGGUAGUUGAAACGAUAUUUGGAUCAGGCCCAAGCAUGGAUGGUGAUUUCAUUGUGAUAAAUUUCUUUGCUCUGAUAUCAGCUUAAUAUAUUACAUGAUCCGUGGUCAAGGAACAAUCAAAUUGUAUGUGGUGUACAAUGUGUUGGAGAUUGGAGUAACCAUUUUGUGUCGAAGAGAAAUUAUCAUGUCCCAAGGAUGAUCGCUGGACUAAGCCUCUAAAUGAUAGUAUCUUAGAAGACACAACACAUCUGUUAUAUGGUAUGAUACAUUGUGAUGGGAUUGGGCAUUUGCUAUGCAUCAAUAGACUUAGAGGGGGUUUUAAGCAUCUUCGCGGCAGAGAGAUCAUGGAUCUUUGGGAUCAAAUUUGCACAAAUCUUCGAACCAGUUACCAUCAAAGAGCUUGAUUACUACACAUAUCCAAUGAUCAACAAUAAACUCAUUGUGCUAUAAAGAUUGUCAGCAAUACAGACCAUAAAAACACAGGCAAAGUAUAUGGGCAAAGUUUCUUGAUGCGAGUUAGAAUCCGGCACCAUGGGCUGAAGAACCUGCAAUAUCAGGAGGUGGGAAUAUUGUGUGGAAUGUGAAGAUUAUCUUGAUGAGUGGGAUAAGCAAGAAUGGUUUAGAGGAGCUGUCAUCUGAAAGAAGCUCUGAUGAUCGCAUACCUCAUAUCUGCAAUAUCAUUAGAUAUGGAAAGGAUGUUGCGAAACAUGAUCUGCAGAACUGCAAGAACUGGAAUCGUUUUCUUAAGGAUGAGCUUGUUGGCAGCUUUACCUU
Molecule: RNA transcript, 1675 nt
Organism: Rosa rugosa (rugosa rose)
Lineage: Eukaryota; Viridiplantae; Streptophyta; Magnoliopsida; Rosales; Rosaceae
Gene name: protein SHORT ROOT IN SALT MEDIUM 1-like
Exons: 11
Source: RefSeq, a predicted model, not a curated record